Molecule: small RNA, 25 nt
Filed under: Arabidopsis thaliana (thale cress)
Lineage: Eukaryota; Viridiplantae; Streptophyta; Magnoliopsida; Brassicales; Brassicaceae
Description: ATSL054270
Source: RNAcentral
UUUUUUCUUUCUUCUUCUUCUUCUA